This 443-nucleotide ribosomal RNA is filed under the name uncultured bacterium. RNAcentral describes it as "bacterial SSU rRNA". It matches the Rfam family "Bacterial small subunit ribosomal RNA", at positions 29 to 467 of the family's 1533-position model. The record is from RNAcentral.
AGUGAACGCUGGCGGCAGGCCUAAUACAUGCAAGUCGAACGGCAGCACAGCAGAGCUUGCUCUGUGGGUGGCGAGUGGCGGACGGGUGAGGAAUACGUGGGAAUCUGCCCAGUCGUGGGGAUAACGUAGGGAAACUUACGCUAAUACCGCAUGCGCCCUUCGGGGAAAGCCGGGGACCUUCGGGCCUGGCGCGAUUGGAUGAGCCCACGUCGGAUUAGCUAGUUGGCGGGGUAAAGGCCCACCAAGGCGACGAUCCGUAGCUGGUCUGAGAGGAUGAUCAGCCACACUGGAACUGAGACACGGUCCAGACUCCUACGGGAGGCAGCAGUAGGGAAUAUUGGACAAUGGGCGCAAGCCUGAUCCAGCCAUGCCGCGUGAGUGAAGAAGGCCCUCGGGUUGUAAAGCUCUUUGUCCGGAAAGAAAGCGCCGGGUUAAUACCCUGG